This 196-nucleotide non-coding RNA is filed under the name Desulfatibacillum alkenivorans. The record is from RNAcentral. RNAcentral also lists the same sequence under 1 other name. Lineage: Bacteria; Pseudomonadati; Thermodesulfobacteriota; Desulfobacteria; Desulfobacterales; Desulfatibacillaceae.
AAUUCGGAGCGGACGCAAGGUGAUCCUCCUAUGAGGAUUGAAAAGGGAAGCCGGCGAAAAUCCGGCGCGGUCCCGCCGCUGUGAACGGGGACGAAACCCGCAAUAUGUCACUGGGCUGAAGUUUUAGCGGCCCGGGAAGGCGCGGGGAUUAGGAUGAUCCGUGAGCCAGAAGACCUGCCCGGCGUCCAUGAAACGA